Molecule: ribosomal RNA, 497 nt
Filed under: uncultured bacterium
Lineage: Bacteria
Description: partial 16S ribosomal RNA
Rfam family: Bacterial small subunit ribosomal RNA
Source: RNAcentral
GAUGAACGCUGGCGGCGUGCCUAAUACAUGCAAGUCGAGCGAACAGAUGAGGAGCUUGCUCCUCUGACGUUAGCGGCGGACGGGUGAGUAACACGUGGAUAACCUACCUAUAAGACUGGGAUAACUUCGGGAAACCGGAGCUAAUACCGGAUAAUAUAUUGAACCGCAUGGUUCAAUAGUGAAAGACGGUUUUGCUGUCACUUAUAGAUGGAUCCGCGCCGCAUUAGCUAGUUGGUAAGGUAACGGCUUACCAAGGCAACGAUGCGUAGCCGACCUGAGAGAGUGAUCGGCCACACGGGAACUGAAACACGGUCCAGACUCCUACGGGAGGCAGCAGUAGGGAAUCUUCCGCAAUGGGCGAAAGCCUGACGGAGCAACGCCGCGUGAGUGAUGAAGGUCUUCGGAUCGUAAAACUCUGUUAUUAGGGAAGAACAAAUGUGUAAGUAACUAUGCACGUCUUGACGGUACCUAAUCAGAAAGCCACGGCUAACUACGUG